RNAcentral lists this ribosomal RNA (1922 nucleotides) under Triticum aestivum (bread wheat). RNAcentral's name for it is "partial small subunit ribosomal RNA". Lineage: Eukaryota; Viridiplantae; Streptophyta; Magnoliopsida; Poales; Poaceae. The record is from RNAcentral.
GCCCUCCGGAUCGGAGGGUGUGCACCAGCAGGAGUUGGAGUGUUGACCCGCAAGGUCUAGCGGUGGUGUACGGUACCGACACACUAGGGGCGCAGGGCCCCGGGGAAAGGAAGGAGGGGGGCGACGUCCUUCGAAGGAGGUGCGGGGAGUGGAAUGAAGGGGCGGAGGGGCGUGGAAAUACCGGUAGUUCCGGCUCUAGAAGCGGGAGGCCUUUAGACCAUUACCUGCCUAAAAAGUUCCGAACGGCAACGCGGGAGCCGGGAGGGACGGGGAUCUAUUUCGGGGACUCCAUGAUAGUAAGGGGAGCUGGCUAAAGGGGGAGUCCUCGGGGGAAAGGGGGUGGGGUGUCAGACGUUCUUGAGCGGCUUCAUGCGUUUGAGGUCGCCGAAGAGGUGGCUACGGGUUCCGAGCCAACCGGAUGGAGCCGGAGGGGACUUCAAAAACGAUUCAGGAGAAGGAGCAGGGCACGAGCGGAAGGAGGGCCUUUGUAACGUAGUAGUCUAGGCUCAAGCAAGGGCGGUAGAAGAGGUUGAGCCCGCUGAUUGGGACUAAUAUGCCUCACGCUUCGAACGAUGAUGGUCAGCAAUCUCAAACUUCCUUUAGUGGUUCCGUUCAGUGUAAACUAGUGUACAAACCAUUAUAAGUACUAAAAUAACGUAAUCUAAGUUUGUAAGGUGGUACGUAGUUCAUCUAUUAUAACUUGAACAAGAACUCAUCAUAGUACUCCAUACUUUGGGGUGUGGGGAUAAUGGUUACGGGUCCUUUGUUACUUAAAAAAUUCAACGAUGCGAGAUCAUCCGCUCCUAACCAACUCACUAUAUAAACUCAAUGCUCACUAUAUGUUAAAACUAGUUCUGAUGUUGGAGUUCUAAAGUUCUGAAGUUAUAUAGAUACCCACCUUACCAACUUCCCGUGGGACCUCAUGUUCACCUAAACGGAUCACUCGACCUCAUCCGGUCAAUAGUACUACUUUCGAGGUGGAUCCGAUUUUUUCCGCUUACCUAUGACGUUGAUGUUCAGUUAUACCCGAGACCGAACCAACUAGAAUCAACACUGAGACUGGCCUACUAUGCGGGUAAAACGUAGUACAAAAGGAUGACAAUAAAUAUUACAAAAAUAGGUAUUAUUACGAAAAACCUCAUUAAGAUUACGGAAAAGAGAGUAUUAUACGUUCCAUAUGUGUUUCUCCCUCUUAAGGCCGUCGACCUUUAGACCUGAACCUUUUCGAUACAGUCCGGUGGAUAAGACGUGUUGAGGUUUGUUCGACUUUGAAGUACCUCUAAAAAAAUAGUUUAUAUACUACUUAUAACCUCGUUUAUUGAUGGUCUCCCCCCGGUGGUCCGCCCGUGUUGGGUGGACCCGCGCGGUCCCUCGGGUCCGCGCGUGACCACCCAACACGAGUGGGUCCGGGUGGAGGUCACGGAUAGAAGACCAUAUAUUCAGUAAAACUGGAUCUUUUUUAAUCCUCUCCUGAAAACCCUACCUCGUGGUGGCAGAGCUCCACCUUGAACCCGUACUCGUGAAAACGGGAAGCCGCCUCACUAAGGCGGCCCCCUUGAAGGGAGGGCCUCCCCCUUUAGUAGCAGUGUAGUAGUGGUUGUUGAGAGGGUAGAACCCCUCCCGUUAGAGGUAGUUGUAGAAGUUGUUGUGGUAUAGUAGAGUUUGGAUCAAGUAGAGAACACAAGUUAGAACAAUGGCCUUGAUAUCUAACCGCGAACACCCACUGAUCAUCACAACUAAUGUAGAACAUCAACUAAUGAUAUACCAAAUAAACCACCUUCUAAUAUACAAGUCUAUGUUAUACGAUAAAUUAUGGGGAGACUAGAACUCGUACUAAUAGUAAACACUCAUAAGUGAAAACAAGAACUCCAGUGUCCUCUUUAGUACAACGUUCAUUAGUACACUUGAACUAUACACAAACU